CAGCAGCCGCGGGAAAACGGAGGGGGCUAGCGUUGUUCGGAAUUACUGGGCGUAAAGCGCACGUAGGCGGCUUGGUAAGUUAGAGGUGAAAGCCCGGAGCUCAACUCCGGAAUUGCCUUUAAGACUGCCGAGCUAGCAGGUGAGAGAGGUAAGUGGAAUUCCGAGUGUAGAGGUGAAAUUCGUAGAUAUUCGGAAGAACACCAGUGGCGAAGGCGACUGACUGGACAAGUAUUGACGCUGAGGUGCGAAAGCGUGGGGAGCAAACAGGAUUAGAUACCCCAGUAGUCCCUGUCUCUUAUAC
This 301-nucleotide ribosomal RNA is filed under the name uncultured bacterium. RNAcentral's name for it is "partial 16S ribosomal RNA". It matches the Rfam family "Bacterial small subunit ribosomal RNA", at positions 509 to 807 of the family's 1533-position model. The record is from RNAcentral.